This is a long non-coding RNA of Macaca fascicularis (crab-eating macaque), 3293 nucleotides long. The record is from Ensembl. Lineage: Eukaryota; Metazoa; Chordata; Mammalia; Primates; Cercopithecidae.
AAUGUGGCCAUGGGGACAGACAUGCGCAUAGGAAGAAGGCCCUAUGAAGAUGAAGGCAGCGACCAGGGGACGCUUCCUCACACAAAGGAAUGCCCAAGAGUGCCAGCAGCCACCACAAACUAGGAGAGGCACCUAGAAAGAUUCUCCCGCCCUGCCCUUGGGAGGAACCCACCCUCAGUCCUUGAUCUUGGACCUCUCCUCCCUACACCUGUGGGGGAAUAAAUUCCUCUUGUUUAGGACUCGCACUCUGUGAUGCUCUGUUGUGGCAGAGUCUUGGGAAACUAAUGCAGAAGAGGAAACUGACUUUCCACCUCUCUCUGCACACGGGCAACCUGAGUCGAUUGCUGGGCCCUCGGUGGCAAGUGCUGUCCUGUCCACCUCCAGUGAGUACUGCCCAGGGCCACAUCCCAAGAUGGGCCACAGAAGAGCCACUAGCUGUCUCUCCACCUGCCAGCCAAAAGGUACUGAUGUCACCUUGAGCCAAAGGAAAACAAGGAGCCAUAAAUCAGUGUAUGAAUGAGCAAAGGAAUACAAUGGCACAGAAUAUUCAUUGUCAUUCCGUCUUCCUCAGGUGCAAGCAAUCAUAGGAUGGUUGAGACUUUACAGUCUUCUGACAGCUCUACCCACAUGAGUGCCACACGCACAUGUGAAACAGCUAUCAUCAAAACUGCGCUAGCAGCUAAGGAGUAAAAGGAAAUCUUAACCAAAGCCGUGACAUCCCCCAAAGGAUAUAUUUCACCAACGUGAUGGAACUGCUGGAACCUAGGCGGCCAGAUGCAAAUGACCCGAGCAAAGCCGCCUCCUCACUGGCCAGACCUCUUCUCCUCCCACACUCUGAAAUCUGAGACCCGUCCAUAAAUAUCCUCAAGUCAAACUCUAAGUACAAAAACAUCUAAGAAAUGUUGCCUGCACAAAAGCAUUUUUCCUCCAAGAAAGGGAAUUUCUGACAAAGUCUGGGAAGACAAAGGGACAAUUUGGAACAGGCACAAACUGAUUAUAAACAUGCUUUCUUUAAUUAAAUGAUAAAAUGUUAAAUAAAUCUUCUUUAGCACAAAAAUACUGAAAGUCGGUACUCAGCAAACAAAAUGAAUCAGCAAUUUUUUUUUUUCAAACCUUCGAGAUUAGUGAAAUUGACUUAUCACUCUGGCUAACAUAUCUUAGGCUUCCUAAUAUGUUAAAAAGCUUUGGAAAAUUUGGAAGGCAAUAUUCUAGCUCUCAGGAGGCCAACACCUCCUGACACCUAACAUCUAGCUUUGAGAGGCAAGACAAGGAGCCCACAGAGACGUGAGCUCUGCACAAGACCAGACGCCCUGGAGAUCCUGUUAGGAGGUUGCACGCAGAUGAUCUCGAUCACUAACCCCCAGCAGGAAUCUUGCCAAAUCGGUAUGAAUAUGUCCAUUUUGCAGACGCAGAAAUGGAAGGUGAAGAGGCCAAGGGAUAUGCCCAAGGUAACAGAGCUAGGAAGCAGCUGAGAUGGAAUUCUAACCGAAGUCUCUUUAACAUCAACUGCGUCCACCAUUAUAGUCUGUGAACCAUUCAGUAACGCCAUAUAAAUGGCAAAUUGCUUUUUCAUUAUUCAAGAAAUGAAUUGACAUUAUUGUUACUACCUUUAAGAAAGAAUUAAGGACAAUAGACAUGAAUUCUGACUACACAUAUUGAAGGAUAAGGGCCCAAUAUGUAAAUGAGAGAAGUUGAGGGACCUCAUGUCCUAGACAUGGACCACUAUUGUUUUAUUAGAGAAUUCACCGAUGUGAUGUCAUUCAGAGCAUUUUGCUGGCACAUUUUAGCAUUGAUCAUUGUACAAAUCAUUUUAAAUUGCAUAUAGCCGAUAUGAGUCACUUUCUUAGUUUGCAAGAGGGAACUCAGGUUUAGACAAGCCAGAUGAUUCACCUAAGAUCAUGCCAUUGAAAUUCUGAACCCAGAUCACCUUACUUGAAAUUCCACGAUUAAAAAAAAGUUAAACCUGGAGAAGGCUACUUCCAGUCUUCUCAGUGACACCUGUUCUAAAGUCUAUUCAGAAAUUCACAUUUUCUAAGGACUUUUGGAAAGUCAUCUGGAGAAAAUUGUCAUUGGAUUCUGUAGCCUCUAAAAGUAUUAUUUUUAUGUAGCCAUUAAUCCUCUAGAAGGGAAAUCUUUGGUCCUACUGAUAGACUGAAGGUGCAAAGGGCCUAAUGAGAGGCACCCGCCACAGAAAGCUGGGUCCUCACAGCCGGACAGCUCUUGCCUCUGUUGUGUUCUGCCAUUUCUGUCAUCCCAGAACCAGUUCCUCACUCACAUGUAAGGAAAACCAGUCUUUUAUUACAAACACAGGGGAUCCAGACAAAGAUGACUCAGCUGCCUUCAAAACACUGACAUGACUCAUGCUAGUUUGAUCAGCAUUUAAUGGUUUUCUUUUUUUUUUGAUGGAGUCUCGCUCUGUUGCCAGGUUGGAGUGCAGUGAUCUUGGCUCACUGCAAGCUCCUCCUCCCGGGUUCAAGUGAUUCUCCUGCCUCAGCCUCCCGAGUAGUUGGGACCACAGACGUGCACCACCACGGUCAGCUAAUUUUUGUAUUUUUAGUAGAGAUGGGUUUCACCAUGUUGGCCAGGAUGGUUUCGAUCUCUUGACCUCGUGAUCCACCCACCUCCACCUCCCAAAGUGCUGGGAUUACAGGUGUGAGCCUCCACACCCAGCCGCAUUUACUGGUUUUGAGUGCAGCUCCUGCGUCAGUGGGCAUGGUCCCCGCCACCCCAUGGACAGGCACCUUUGGGACUCUGGUGUCAGCGGCAGGAGCGCACCUGUCCUGUCUCAGGACGGCCCUGCCCAUCUCACCCAGAGUGAGAGAUGCUGAACUGGACACCACACAGACGUAGCAGCCACUGGGAGCCGAGCCGCCCCAGGGACCUCAGGAGGCAGAGGGGCGUCCACACAGCAUGGACACCGGCGACUGGCAUGUCUGCGGGGGAACAGUGGCCUCGCGGAGCAUGGGCAGGGCAGACCAGAACCAGGUCUGUUGCAGAAUGAACCCACCCCACUGAGGAAGUGGCUGGCUCUGGGGCAGAACAGAUGCUGACCCCACGGUGUCCUGAUAGAAGCACCAUAUUCCAGACUUGUCCAUCCAGAAACUUGAGUUUGGCUCUGUUGUGGUGGUGAUUAGACCAUCAGAGCCCACCCCAGCUUACCCAAGCCAGAACUCACUAAUCUGUUGACCAGGAUUACACAACACUCAGCACAUGUAUGGAGCAUACGCCGUGCAUCUAGUGAACAAAACGGACAAAGCUCCGGGUUCCCGUGGAGCAGAUUGUCCCCCAGGAGA